Molecule: ribosomal RNA, 433 nt
Filed under: uncultured bacterium
Lineage: Bacteria
Description: partial 16S ribosomal RNA
Rfam family: Bacterial small subunit ribosomal RNA
Source: RNAcentral
AGCGAACGCUGGCGGCAGGCCUAACACAUGCAAGUCGAACGGAACCUUCGGGAUUAGUGGCGGACGGGUGAGUAACAGGUGGGAACGUGGCCUUUGGAUAGGAACAACUCAGGGAAACUUGAGCGGAUACAGGAUGUGACACUCGGGGGAAAGAUCUAUCGCCAUGGGGGCGGCCCGCGUCUGAUUAGGUAGUUGGUGAGGUAACGGCCCACCAAGGCGACGAUCAGUAGCUGGUCUGAGAGGCUGAUCAGCAGCACUGGGACUGAGACACGGCCCAGACUCCUACGGGAGGCAGCAGUGGGGAAUCCUGCGCAAUGGGCGAAGGCCUGACGCAGCCAUGCCGCGUGUAUUAUGAAGGUCUUAGGAUUGUAAAAUUCCUUCGGCGGGGACGAUAAUGACGGUACCCGCAGAAGAAGCUCCGGCUAACUUCGUG